Molecule: non-coding RNA, 125 nt
Organism: Triticum aestivum (bread wheat)
Lineage: Eukaryota; Viridiplantae; Streptophyta; Magnoliopsida; Poales; Poaceae
Source: Rfam
AUGCUACUCCCUCCGUCUGGAAAUACUUGUCGGAGAAAUGCCUAAAAAUGAAUGUAUCUAGAUCUAAAAUACAUCUAGAUACAUUAAUUUUUUCGACGAGUAUUUUCGGACGGAGGGAGUACUAU